GCUAAUUUUUUGUAUUAUUAGUAGAGAUGGGGUUUCACCGUGUUAGCCAGGAUGGUCUCGAUCUCCUGACCUCGUAAUCCAUCCUCCUUGGCCUCCCAAAGUGUUGGGAUUACAGGCGUGAGCCACCGCACCCGGCCAGCACCUGAUUUUUAAAAUGGCUUGUUGUAAAAUGCAUCAUACAAAUAGAAGGAUGGAUAAAAUUUGCUCAAUUGAAAUAUUUAAAAGUAAUGGCAAAAGCCGCAAUUACUUUUGCACCAACCUAAUAUUAUAAUAAUAAGGUAAAUAAUCAUCCACCCAGUUUAGGGUAUAAAACAUAACCAGUCCUUUAGAAGCCUCUGCUUAUCCCUCCCCAAUUGUGGUCUCUUCUCCACCCGCAGUGAUAACCACGGUGAUGACUUAUGUUAAUCAUUCUCCUGUUUCCUUUACAGUUUUCCACCAAUAUAUACAUCCCUAAACAACAUGACUUAGUUUUGAAAUAAUGAACAGCAAGCACCAAUCUAGAAUAAGGAAAGGGUGAUGUUACCACUGUUUGAGGAAGGCUCAAGAGGAGAAGAUAAACUGAACAGCCUCUCGGUCAUUGUCUGGCUUCAGCUUCCCUAAGCAUUUAUAAGAGCUUUUUAUGGGAAAAUCAUUGAGUAAGAUGAUGAGUAACACUGGGAAUCAUUGGGCUCAGCACAGGUGAGACAUACGGUAACACUGGAGAAUGGGCCGGGUUUUAGAUGUUUGGCCGGGAUAUAGUCAGAGGGAGAUGGCUAUUGUGUAUAUUCUGCUUAUCACGAAUUUCCCUCCACUUCCCAGAAGAGGUCAAGGCAGAACAUUUCUAGAUGACACCCAUCGUAGAUCAAACAUCAGAGCACUGGAGGAAUGAGCAGGAACUUUAUCAGCAUGUGGUCAAAAUAAAGAGAACUGAUUGUUAAAAAGAGCCUGGCACCGCCUCCACACCUUGCUUCCUCUCUCGCCAUGUGAUCUCCACACACGCUGGCUCCCCUUCACCUUCCACCAUUAGUAGAAGCAGCCUGAGGCCCUCACCUGAUGCAGAUGCCAGUGCCAUGCUUCUUGUAAAGCUGAAGAACCAUGAGCCAAAUCAGCCUCUUUUCUUUAGAAAUUACCCAGCCUCGGGUGUUCCUUUAUAGCAACGCUAAAUGGACUAAGACAAUAAUUAACCUGCCUGAGCUUCAGUUUCUUCAUCCAUAAAAUGAGGAUGGACAUAGAAUCUGUUUCACUAGGAUUGCCAAGAGAAUUUAGUGAAAUAAUAAAGAGGACACAGAUUAUGUGUUCUUUUCUGGUUUAGGAAGAUUAAAUUGCUCAAAGUUACACAUCAAAUCAUGGGACUCAGACUCAUAAUCUGACACAUGGUCAAUACUCAAUAAAUUUCAGCUAUCAUUAUUAUGACAUAGUUCAAAUGGGACUCACACCUCCUCUCAGUUAAAGAGAAGAGUACAUGAGCCAGACCUGGCCAAUGAGAUUCAGCCCUAGGAUUGUUGCUAGAAUGAUUUGAAAGGAAAUUCUCUUGUCCUGUUAGGUUAUUAAGUUGGUAAAGCAUAAUCCCAGAGCUGCUGGUAGCUCUCUUUAACAAUGCUUUUAGAGGGUCUAUCUGAAAGUAAAGCCAAACCAAGAGAUGGAAACAGAUUACUGAUGAUGAGGCUGGAUGCAGCCUUACCUGAAGGCAUUGUGGCCCUGGACUUUCCAGUAUUAUGAAUCAACAUCUUCCUUUUCUUUCUCUUAAGCCAUUUUUAGUUGAGUUUUCAUUACUUGCAACAGAAAGAAUCCCUUGUAAUACAAAAAAAUACUGUUUUGAAACUAUUUAUUUCACUGAAUGUAACAUUAUCAUAUGUUCAUGUUAUUAAAAGUAUUCUUCAACAUUA
Pongo pygmaeus (Bornean orangutan) is the source of this 1865-nucleotide long non-coding RNA. RefSeq lists it as uncharacterized. NCBI's taxonomy places the organism in Eukaryota, Metazoa, Chordata, Mammalia, Primates, Hominidae. The transcript has 2 exons. The record is from RefSeq and is a predicted model, not a curated record.